GAUUAUGGCUCAGAUUGAACGCUGGCGGCAGGCCUAACACAUGCAAGUCGAGCGCGAAAACACUUCGGUGUGAGUAGAGCGGCGGACGGGUGAGUAAUGCUUGGGAAUCUGCCCAGUAGUGGGGGAUAACCUGUGGAAACGCAGGCUAAUACCGCAUACGUCCUACGGGAGAAAGCAGGGGAUCUUCGGACCUUGCGCUAUUGGAUGAGCCCAAGUCGGAUUAGCUUGUUGGUGGGGUAAUGGCUCACCAAGGCAACGAUCCGUAGCUGGUCUGAGAGGAUGAUCAGCCACACUGGGACUGAGACACGGCCCAGACUCCUACGGGAGGCAGCAGUGGGGAAUAUUGCACAAUGGGGGAAACCCUGAUGCAGCCAUGCCGCGUGUGUGAAGAAGGCUCUAGGGUUGUAAAGCACUUUCAGUAGGGAGGAAAUGUUAACGGUUAAUAACCGUUAGUUUGACGUACCUACAGAAG
RNAcentral lists this ribosomal RNA (472 nucleotides) under OMG group bacterium enrichment culture clone NPHTC-013. RNAcentral's name for it is "bacterial SSU rRNA". It matches the Rfam family "Bacterial small subunit ribosomal RNA", at positions 15 to 487 of the family's 1533-position model. Lineage: Bacteria; Pseudomonadati; Pseudomonadota; Gammaproteobacteria. The record is from RNAcentral.